Carcharodon carcharias (great white shark) is the source of this 478-nucleotide long non-coding RNA. RefSeq lists it as uncharacterized. The transcript is spliced from 3 exons. The record is from RefSeq and is a predicted model, not a curated record. Lineage: Eukaryota; Metazoa; Chordata; Chondrichthyes; Lamniformes; Lamnidae.
GUAUCGUCAGGUCACCAGGCAAGCGGAGGGAACAUAACCGGUUACACAAUGAUAGACAAGAGUUGCUUGUUUGAAUCCUAGACAAGAACAGUGCAGCAAACAGAAGGUCAAACUCUCCCUUGUCUUCAUCGAUGAUCAGACUUUCCCUUCCAGAUGACCCCACUCUUCAAGUAUCUCUCCCUCUGAAAGGCAAGAAGGAAAAGGGUUUCGAAUGCAACAAUAUAAAUAAAAAUCAAAUUUCCAGGUUCUUCAGAAACAACGGACAAAGCCACAGCAGGAGAGCCUCUGAAGUAGAGAACUAAAGGAGGCACCUAGCUCGACUCACAUGUGUGAUUCAGAGAUUCAUCCAUGCCAUUGGAUCGGUGGAUUUCAGGAUUCAAGACCUAUUUACUCACAAUCCAAACGUAGCAGCAGUCCACAAGAAGGCAAUACCCGUACAUUGUCCUGGAGCAGAAGGCCAGCAAAUAUUUGAGCAGCU